Long non-coding RNA from Spea bombifrons (plains spadefoot toad), 240 nucleotides. RefSeq lists it as uncharacterized. The record is from RefSeq and is a predicted model, not a curated record. Lineage: Eukaryota; Metazoa; Chordata; Amphibia; Anura; Pelobatidae. The transcript has 2 exons.
UGUAAGCGCUGCAUGUUGUUCAGUAACAGGGACAAUAUUGGCCUGUGGUCUCCGAGGGACCUUGGCCAAGAGUUAUUCUGGGUGCCGGGCUCGUACCCCCCGGGCCGGGUCCGAUCCCUGCCAGAGAAAACAAAGUCGCUCCAGCAAGAAGAGCUGGCGGAGGGCAGAAGAGGCGCUGAGCUGGCGCUCCGCCCCUAAAGGCAAAGCCUGCGAACCGGGACUGGAGAAAGGAGGAAGAAA